GGGCUUGUGGCAGACUGGAAUGCACCCGACUUUUAAUCGGAGCAAAUGAGAGUUCGAUUCUCUCCGGGCCCA
This 72-nucleotide transfer RNA is filed under the name Planctomycetaceae bacterium. RNAcentral describes it as "tRNA-Lys". It matches the Rfam family "tRNA". Rfam says of the family: Transfer RNA (tRNA) molecules are approximately 80 nucleotides in length. The record is from RNAcentral. Lineage: Bacteria; Pseudomonadati; Planctomycetota; Planctomycetia; Planctomycetales; Planctomycetaceae.